This 369-nucleotide ribosomal RNA is filed under the name uncultured bacterium. RNAcentral's name for it is "bacterial SSU rRNA". It matches the Rfam family "Bacterial small subunit ribosomal RNA", at positions 917 to 1289 of the family's 1533-position model. The record is from RNAcentral.
GGGCCCGCACAAGCGGUGGAGCAUGUGGUUUAAUUCGAUGAUACGCGAGGAACCUUACCAGGGCUUAAAUGUAACGGGACAGAUCUAGAGAUAGAUCCUUCUUCGGACUCAUUACAAGGUGCUGCAUGGUUGUCGUCAGCUCGUGCCGUGAGGUGUCAGGUUAAGUCCUAUAACGAGCGCAACCCCCCAUCGUUAGUUGCCAACGAGUAAUGUCGGGAACUCUAACGAAACUGCCGGUGCAAACCGUGAGGAAGGUGGGAUGACGUCAAAUCAUCACGGCCCUUACGUCCUGGGCUACACACGUGCUACAAUGGUCGGUACAGAGAGCAGCCACUACGCGAGUAGGAGCAAAUCUAUAAAACCUAUCUC